AUUGAACGCUGGCGGCAGGCCUAACACAUGCAAGUCGAACGAGGGGCGGACGGGUGUGUAAUGUCUGGGAAACUGCUUGAUGGCGGGGGAUAAUUACUGGAAACGGUAGCUAAUCCCGCAUACCAUCCGGUGUGACCAGAUGGGAUGAGCUAGUAGGUGGGGUAACGGCUCACCUAGGCGACGAUCCCUAGCUGGUCUGAGAGGAUGACCAGCCACACUGGAACUGUGAACCGGUCCAGACUCCGACGGGAGGCAGCAGUGGGGAAUAUUGCACAAUGGGCGCAAGCCUGAUGCAGCCAUGCCGCGUGUAUGAAGAAGGCCUUCGGGUUGUAAAGUACUUUCAGCGGGGAGGCGUUACCCGAAGAAGAAGCACCGGCUAACUCCGUGCCAGCAGCCGCGGUAAUUC
RNAcentral lists this ribosomal RNA (406 nucleotides) under uncultured bacterium. RNAcentral's name for it is "partial 16S ribosomal RNA". It matches the Rfam family "Bacterial small subunit ribosomal RNA", at positions 30 to 526 of the family's 1533-position model. The record is from RNAcentral.